GUAGGUGGCAAGCGUUGUCCGGAAUUAUUGGGCGUAAAGCGCGCGCAGGCGGGUCCUUUAAGUCUGAUGUGAAAGCCCACGGCUCAACCGUGGAGGGUCAUUGGAAACUGGGGGACUUGAGUACAGAAGAGGAAAGCGGAAUUCCAAGUGUAGCGGUGAAAUGCGUAGAGAUUUGGAGGAACACCAGUGGCGAAGGCGGCUUUCUGGUCUGUAACUGACGCUGAGGCGCGAAAGCGUGGGGAGCAAACAGGAUUAGAUACCCUGGUAGUCCACGCCGUAAACGAUGAGUGCUAAGUGUUAGGGGGUUUCCGCCCCUUAGUGCUGCAGCUAACGCAUUAAGCACUCCGCCUGGGGAGUACGGCCGCAAAGGCUG
Molecule: ribosomal RNA, 373 nt
Filed under: uncultured organism
Description: partial 16S ribosomal RNA
Rfam family: Bacterial small subunit ribosomal RNA
Source: RNAcentral